UCUAUCAUCAAAUACAGUCUCUCUGGUUAGUUAAAAUGGGCUUUCGGAAUUGUGGAAAGAGUGUGUAUUCACUUGGAGGAAUACAGACUCCCCCAACAGUAGCCCAUAACUGGGGUCAGUGCAACAUGCCACACAGUAUUUGUAAUUACAGUUCUUUCAUCAUCUUCUAAAUGUUGAAACAUUUAGAUGUUUCACUACAGGUAUCUGUACUAACAAACAUACCUGUUUUAGUAUAUGUGGGUACACUAUAUAUGUCCACAUGAAUGUUUUAAGUCUGAUGCAUUAUAAUGCCAUAAAAAAAGUCUUUAAAAACUUUUUUUUUCUUUAGAUGGCAAAAGCACUGAUGGAAGCCUUCCCUCUGAUGCCAGAUGUAGAUUUUGACACAACAAAAAAGGCAAUGAAAAGUGAAAGAAGAACUCUCGCUCUUCAAAUGCUUGAUGCAUCAGGUAUACCAUGUGCAUUUCGACUUACAAUACAUAAACAUACACACAUAUAUAUUGCAGAAUCUCCCCAGCUCUUACAUUACUGAACCAGUCUUGACUGGUGAAUUUAAGGUUUUUUAUUUUAUUUGAUUAAGAUCAACCACCAUCAUCAAAGUCACCACAAUAACCUCAAUAAAUGUGAAAACUAAAACAUAUACAAACAUUGUAAUACAAAACAUGAACUUAACCAAUAAAGAUAACAAAACUAAACAGACCUCGCUGCUUUCGCUGGGGAACACUAAGUUUUGAUUUCUUUGUGACAAGCACAUCUUGACAGUUCAAUUAAUUCACUGUUUCAAUGACUCUUUCAACUUAUAUAGAGUCUGCCCUCAUUAGCUCCUGCAGCCCGUGAGGUCAAUUGUUAGGAUGGCCCUUAGCGGGAGGCUGAAAUAGGAGUCUGGAGGCAGGGGUAGUGCAACCAACCAGGUGUUUUAAUCUCCAACAUUUAACAAAGAUGACAUUCCUGCUUACAUGGUCAGGAGGUGUCGCAGCACCCGCACCUAUUACUCCUAUCAUGUGGCCAACAUGCAGGCUUUGUAAUCCUGGGCGGCACCAAUUAACACACUUCCCAAAAGACAGGGUAGAACAAACCACAUAUACACCAAACAACUUAACAAAACAACCAAUCUUCAACACAUAAAUAACACACAUUCUUCAUGGUUACAUACUCAUUUACUAUCUAAAACUACCCUCCUAUAAAUAUUAAUUUAUUCAUCACUUCUAAAAUGCCUCAGGCUUUGUUCCCCCUCUUCCAUCUGCACUUGGUCUCUUCCAGAAUCUUUAUCAGGUGUUCAGGCCCCGGGGACUCUUUUCGCCUGAACACCCUACAGAGGAACAGACAGAGGUAAGCCAUAAUCUACAAACAUUUGUAAUACAUUUCAUAAUUACCAUAUUUACUUCAUUUAUAUUAUUCCCCCCCCCAGGACACCCUCAAUACCCACUGAGAUGCCCUGCAUAAAACACCCAAUAAAAUACUUCAAUCUAUUUGUACCCGUCUCAUUAUCAUUUACACAUAAUUAAAGUGUUAUCCUGACCAGUAAUGAAGACCUUCAUUACAUCAAUAAAAAAAAAAAAAAAUUACAAAAUGCAAAUUCCAUUUCACAAAAUAUAAACCACCAACAGUGCCAAUCCAAACAGACAAAGAUAUCUAAACGAUAUGCAACAUUGAUAAUUUAGAAAAUUUACUUUAGUUUACAAAUGUAUUUUAUAUAAUCUCCAAGUAUUAAUAAUUUUAAAUUAAUUUUCUGAAAUAAUUAGCUAUUUUGUUAUAUAUAUAUAUAUAUAUAUCGAUCUAUCAAUCUAUCUUGUUUGAAUAUGCUGUAUAUUCUUCUUGAUUACAGUAUUUGAUGACCACUGUUGGUGUGCGAUGUGCGCUGCAUACAAAGCCCCGGGGUCUGGCCCUGGAAUGACAGACUGGAUCCAGUGUGACAACUGUGACCGAUGGUACCAUGCCCUGUGCAUAAAUAUGAAGAGCACAGAAUUUCAAA
Xiphophorus hellerii (green swordtail) is the source of this 1969-nucleotide long non-coding RNA. RefSeq lists it as uncharacterized. The transcript has 2 exons. The record is from RefSeq and is a predicted model, not a curated record. NCBI's taxonomy places the organism in Eukaryota, Metazoa, Chordata, Actinopteri, Cyprinodontiformes, Poeciliidae.